This 492-nucleotide ribosomal RNA is filed under the name uncultured bacterium. RNAcentral describes it as "partial 16S ribosomal RNA". It matches the Rfam family "Bacterial small subunit ribosomal RNA", at positions 29 to 507 of the family's 1533-position model. The record is from RNAcentral.
AGUGAACGCUGGCGGUAGGCCUAACACAUGCAAGUCGAACGGCAGCACAGUAAGAGCUUGCUCUUACGGGUGGCGAGUGGCGGACGAGUGAGGAAUACAUCGGAAUCUACUUUUUCGUGGGGGAUAACGUAGGGAAACUUACGCUAAUACCGCAUACGACCUACGGGUGGAAGCAGGGGAUCUUCGGACCUUGCGCGAUUGAAUGAGCCGAUGUCGGAUUAGCUAGUUGGCGGGGUAAGGGCCCACCAAGGCGACGAUCCGUAGCUGGUCUGAGAGGAUGAUCAGCCACACUGGAACUGAGACACGGUCCAGACUCCUACGGGAGGCAGCAGUGGGGAAUAUUGGACAAUGGGCGCAAGCCUGAUCCAGCCAUACCGCGUGGGUGAAGAAGGCCUUCGGGUUGUAAAGCCCUUUUGUUGGGAAAGAAAAGCAGCAGGUUAAUACCCCGCUGUUCUGACGGUACCCAAAGAAUAAGCACCGGCUAACUUCGUG